This 1040-nucleotide long non-coding RNA is filed under the name Homo sapiens (human). Its description in RNAcentral is "HSALNT0195740". Lineage: Eukaryota; Metazoa; Chordata; Mammalia; Primates; Hominidae. The record is from RNAcentral.
GGAAUCAUCAGUCUACAUAUGGCAACAGAAGAGUUGGCCCAUAUUGUUUCUCCCUGAAACCUGCCUACAACCUGCUGAGUUCCCAUAUGUGGAUUACUAAAUUCUAGAAGCUUCUCACUGAGGAGACACAGUGAAGCGUUGGAGAGUCACUGGCCCAGAAUGAAAGAUGACAGCAGCAUGAGGAGUGGCACCCAACCCUCAUUUUAAAACCCAUCAUUACUUCUACCAUCGCAGGAACAAGGACUCUGCUGGCACCCAAACUGCUGGCUGAUGAUGAGCGUUAAAAAUUCAACACAUACACGCGAUUUCCUGUAACCUCAGGAAUCCAUGUUUACACACUUUAAACAGUUGUCACAUCUUACUUUCUGCAUGGCUCUUUAACUCGGUGUUCCUUAACUUUACACGUUAUACAUGUGGUAUCUUUUGUCAAUGAAACACCAAGUGUCCUAAAGUCAAAGCAAUGUGUUACAUGACUUUAUAUUGCUCGCAGUGCUUAGAUGUAGCAGGUGCUCAAUUCAUUUUUGUUGAAUGAAUACAUUUACUGUAUACAACUAAUCAAGUGUGCGUUUUCUCUAAAUUCUUAUAAAAACAAUACUUGGGGAAAAUAACAAGAAGACCCUCCCCAAUCCUAGCACAAAAUACCAAAAAAAAAAACUUAAAAUGGGACAAAAACAACCUACAAUCCUUUUCCUCAUCCGCACUUCUGACUGUACAUCAGGCCAGCCAUGCAGAAAUGAGCAAGAGGGUGCAAGACUACUCUUGGGGUACCAGGGAGAACAACCUAACUCCAAGGAGCCUCCUCAGACACCCUCCACUUCUGGGCCAUUCCUUAGCAACAGAAGCAGAAGAUGAAACCACUUUCCAUAACUGCAGCUUGGAAGUCUCUUUUCUGAAAACUCUCCCUGACAGAGUAUCUGGGAUAUGUUUUGGAGAAUAGCUCUUAGGGCUGCAUUACACCGACGAUCGGCAAAUGGUCAAACAUUGAAAGAUGAUUCAUUGCCAUUUAAAGGAGCCUUACCUGCAUUCCGUAUCCUCUCUUU